GAUAGACGCGUGGCGCGUGCCUUAACACAUGCAAGUCGAACGAGACCUUCGGGUCUAGUGGCGCACGGGUGCGUAACGCGUGGGAAUCUGCCCUUGGGUUCGGAAUAACUCGCCGAAAGGCGUGCUAAUACCGGAUGAUGUCGUAAGACCAAAGAUUUAUCGCCCAGGGAUGAGCCCGCGUAAGAUUAGGUAGUUGGUGAGGUAAAGGCUCACCAAGCCGACGAUCUUUAGCUGGCCUGAGAGGAUGAUCAGCCACACUGGGACUGAGACACGGCCCAG
RNAcentral lists this ribosomal RNA (279 nucleotides) under uncultured bacterium. Its description in RNAcentral is "partial 16S ribosomal RNA". It matches the Rfam family "Bacterial small subunit ribosomal RNA", at positions 28 to 334 of the family's 1533-position model. The record is from RNAcentral.